GUUCCAAACCCACCUCAUGAUGUUUUUAGACCACCACCAAGUCCUAAAACCAUUGUUACAAUGUCGCCGCCGCCACCUCCAAGCCCAUCAAAACAUGUUCCAAGCCCACCUAAAAGUGUUAUAGGCCCACCUCAAGUAUACUUGCCACCUAUUGUUUAUCCACCACCACCUUCAACUCAUAAGAAGCCACCACAAUAUGCUAUUUGGUGUGUGGCAAAGCCUACAGUUCCUGAUCCUAUAAUUCAAGUGGCUAUGGAUUAUGCCUGUGGGUCUGGGGCUGACUGUAAAUCAGUUCAGCCUAAUGGGAUAUGCUUUCAGCCCAACACAGUGUUGGCACAUGCUUCUUAUGCAUUUAAUAGCUAUUGGCAGAACACUAAGAUUGGUGGGGGGACUUGUGAUUUUGGUGGUACUGCUAUGCUUGUCACUGUUGAUCCAAGUAAGUUUGCACUACGUACCAUAUUUGAUUACCUUUGUUAAAGAGAUUAAUUUUCAUAUAUUUCAUUUUUUUUUGUAAGUAAUUUUUCCAUGUAUUUCAUGUUCUACACUGUUAGCACAUUUACAUGUUGAUCUAAUGAUAAAAAAAAAAAAAAAAUUUUGAAUCGGCAAAAUAUUAUAUGUAUGGACCGUAAAAGUUGAUUAUGAUAAAAUUUAAACAGUUGAUUAGGAUAAAUAAUUUAAUUUUUUGGUACAAAUAAUAAAAUAAAUUUUAAUGAAAUUAUAUGACAAAAUUAACACUUCACAUGUUUCAUAUAUAUCGAGAUUCUUUUUUUGUUACAAUGAGAUCCUUUUAUUUAGCUGUUAGUUAAGUCAUUUCACAUCACAUCACAUACUAUAUAUAUCCACACAACAGGCAUAUGCCACUUGAUUUCUUUUAAAUUGGAAUCUAUCCGGGUAGAGAAAACAUGAAUUCAUGACAUCGGUAGCCGGCGUCUGAUUAAAAAUAAAGGUUUUUUUUAAAUUACCUUUAAAGAAUGGUGGGUAAUUUAUCCACCAACCAAUGAAAAUGAGCAAUUUAUUUGUGGAGUCAAGAUAGUUCAUGAAUAUGUGUUUAUGUGGCUAAUGUGUAUUGGUUGGGGUAAAUUACCCAUCAUUCUUUCAUGGGUAGCCUAGUUGCCACCAAAAAUAAAUGGUUCAAAUAAAUAUAUAUUUUAAUUUAUAAUUUAAAAAAAUAUCAAAUUUAAAUAUGAAUGGUUUAAUCUUGAUCAAACAACUAUUGAUGUGCUAUUGUGUGAUGUGUGCUUGAUCCCCUUUCUUCUUUUGAGGUGCAUUCUUCAUUGUCACACUCGGUGGUAUUAGAUUCGCGCACAGUCACUUAAAGCCCACAUUCACCUAUUCAAAACGUUGUUGACUUAUAUGGAUCAAGAUCUAAAGGAAUUUUAAGCUGGUUUUUAAGAUAAAAAACAAAAAUCAAACCUUAAAACCUGCAUUGUUCGAUCUAGAGUCAACGAUCACCGACAUGGUGAAAGUGAAUUUUUGUAACUACAUGGAAUGCAUAUUUCGUAGUCUUUUCAAUUUAGAACUAUGGAUUAUUGCUUCAGACUAACAUUUCCCUCAAAUCCUCGAUUUAUUUGGCAGGUUAUGACAAGUGCAGCUUCAAGUCGACUUAGCUCAUUGCUUGCUAUAAUACAUAGCAUUUGGAGACUUACCAAAUAUUGAAAACUUCUUGUUCCAAUGUAAUUUUUUAUGCAACGAUAAAUUCCCUUACUUAAUUAGAUACAUUAUUUGGAGUUACCUUGAUCAUAGUAUAUUCCGCCCUUGCUUAAUUUUGUGUAGUUCUAUAUAUUUCUAAAAUGGUAGGUUUAAUAUAUAUAUUCAUGACCAUAAUUUGAUAUUUAGAGAUGUAUGUAGCUCUAUUACGUUUCUGGUUCUUUAGUUUAAAACUUAGAUAAGCACCCAUCUUUUGUGUAUUACUAUCAGCGUUAUAAUCCUUGAAAACUUAGAUAAGCACCCAUCUAAAUGCAUAUAAGGUUAAGACAAUACCGACAUCAAAAUGCAGGUUGAAUACAUUAUCCGACUAAAAUCCAUUUCGCUUUCUUCAUGCAUGUGCUCUACAGUUAUCUUCAAUGAAUAAAACAGUAGUUACCUUCAGCCAGCUUGUAAUAUGUUGUCGCACCUGCGAAGCUAAUUUGCAUUCAAAAAAUAAGUGAGAAACAUUUUCCUGCGAAGCUAAUGAAGUGUACGGAAAAAUAAAUAAAAAAUUUACAUUUUAUUAUAACAAAGCAAACAAUUUACUCUAUUGCUUUUUUCUUUAAAAAAAAAUAAAAAAUUUACUUUAUUGUUUCGUGGUGUUUUUUUUAUUCAUUUACUUACUGAUAAAAAACUCAUAUAGACAAAAGAACUGAGUUAAGUGAGAAAAAAAAUGAGAUUAUAGCUAGUAUUGAUAUUUUUACUAAUGUAUUUCGAAAAAUAUUUCAUUCUGUUGGUGUAUAAAAAUUUACAUUAGAAGCAGGGAGGGAACCAUAUUUAACGGUAUAAGAUAGGAAAGAAAAAACAAAUUACUUUACCCAAAAAAAAAAAAAAACAAAUUUUUAUUUGCAAAUAUAAUGCACACAUGAAAUUUAAGAAAUUAUAUGUUACUUCCCUCAUUUCCUUUUUUUAAGUGUUUUUUUAGAAAAUUAACACAAAAAUCACGAAGUGUAUUUUUUGCACAUUUUCUUCCUAGUAUACCCUCAUUUUAAUCCACUAAUAAAUUUCAAUUGUUUUGCAAACACUUUAUCUUUCCAAUAAAUUUAAUAUGUUAUAUUUCUCUCAUUGUGAGUUACUAUUAUCUUUUUCUCCAACAAAUUCCUAUUUUUUUACAUGCACUCUCUCAUAACAAACAAUUGUCAAUUUUCUAAAUAUUGUGUACAUCUUUUCAAUUAUUUUAAGUCAAUAUAAAAAUUAAAUUGAUGAAACUUCUUCUUCUUCAUUGUCAUCUUGUUCUUGUUCUUGUAUCUUGUCGAAUGAGUUUUCAACUAUUGCUCCCUCUUCACAUCUCAUCAUCAAUUUCAACGAGUCUUCCACUUUUUCAUCCUUUUGAGCAUACUACAUGGAGUCUUUUAUUUUUCUUCUCUCAAAUCUUUUAUUUUACUUUGCCCUUGAAAUUUUUAACAAUUGAUACUCAUCUUAGUUAUCGAAUUUUAACUCUUCUUGGAACCAUUGUUUGUAACAAAAUUUUGUUUAAAUUUGAAGAUAACAAGAAACAAACUUUGUUUAAAAAAAAACUGUGUUCCAAAUAGAUAGCAUUAAUUAGUUUUAUUGAAAAAGCUAAAAGUAAUUGGCAAAGGGUAUAAUUGACAAAUCGUAAUUUAAAAUACCAAAAAGACAGUAAAAUAGGAACGGAAAAUUCACCAUAAAAAGACACUUAAAAAUGAACGGAGGAAGUAUAUCCAAAGUUAAUAUGUAUCGAAAAUUGUGUUCAUGUGUAAUUUAUUUGUUGUUUUUUGUUGCCGUUGUUUCUUUAGUGGCACUUUGACUCUGUAAAUACUUGUCGGUGGUUCUCCUUUUGCAUACCUUAUACAGGUUGAACCACUCUGAUUUUAUUAAUAUCUCAUUUUGAUUUGUUAAAAAAAAAUGUAUCUAAAAUUAUAAGAAAUUUCAAAGAUGUUAGAAAAAUGAGUUCCUUGAGGCUUCUUUGAGUGUGACCAAAGAAGAUUUUUUUAAUAGUAGAGAUAGGAAAUAAGAAACAACAAGAAUGUAAAUGUAGGAGAAGAAAUUCAAGAUAAUAUCACAAACAUUAGUAGUGACUGAAAGGGCGCAAACAACACCGCGUGCAAUAUUUCUUACAGUUUGAGUGAAAUUGCAACAAAUAAUCACAAAUUAAUAUUCUAGUUAAGGUUCUUCUAAUUGCAUAAAAAAAAACUCACUUUAUUUCUCAAUUUCUCAAUGUUAUGCAUUCUAGUUAAGGAUUUGUGUUAUUAAAAUUUGAAAGUUAUACAAUGCUAAAUAUACUGAGUAAAAAAAAGUUCAUUAUACAAAAUCAUAUUAAGUUCACAGAAAAUAGUAUAGUGACAAAAAAAUAAAAAUAAUAAUAACAUACUAAUAUGAAGGGAACCAUGGCCUAUGUUAGUCUCCGUUCUAGUUUCAUCCCUGAUUGCAAAGUAUAUCAUAAUGCAAUCUUGUGUAGCUACGAUAAGAAUUAAAUAUUUUCAAUUAUCUACUAAUAGUAAUGAUUAAUUGACAAUGCAAGUACUCUUUACACCUGCAUUGCAUAUGAAUUAGAAGUCACUUUGUUGGCAUAUCACUCCUCAAUCUUGUGAUCCUCCGUUCAAAACUAGCGGUAUGGUAACAAAACCCAUAUAUGUGGGUAUCCGUUUGAACCAAACUUAAAUUGACGGGUUUUUUUUAUUUUAAUUGGGUUUGGGUUUGUCUCGAUUUCAAAAGAUAGAUACGGGACGGGUAACAGGAAUAUAGGUACUCAUCUCAAACCCAUCCUGAAUGUAGAAAAUUAAUUUAUUACCCAUUUUAUAUAAAUAAAAACUCAAACCCUAAAUCAUUUCACUCAUACAAUCAGAGUCUCGGUCUUUCAGAUGACACAAUUAUCAUAGUUCUUUCUUUUCUCCUUCAAUAUUCCACACUCUCAGCCUCUCUCUUCUUCAUCACCAUAGUCAUCGAUCGUCGUCAUCUUUUUACUGAAUAAUGCAUUAGUCAUUACAACUUUGCGCUCGGGGAUAAAAAAUACUUUUAUUUUUAAUAAAAAAAAAUUAUCCACUUCGGGGAUGGGAAUGAGGCGGGGAUGCCCAAACCCGUCGGGGACAUGGAUGAGAUUCGAUUUCUCAUCUCCGCUGAAUAUGGGUAUGGUAACGGGUAAGUAUUUGAAAAUAUGGUAUGAGGACGGGGAAGGUAAAACUCAUCCUCACCCUACCCCAUUGUGAUGCCUAUUCAUGAAGCACAUAUAUUUAGGUAAAUAUUAGAAUAGAAUAACAUUGGAAUGAAAUAAUGACAAAAUUAUCUCUUCACAUGUUUCAUAUUGAGACUCUUUUAUUUACAAUGAGUUCCUUAUUUCGUCGUUAUAGUUUAAGUGAUUUCACAUCACAUACUAUACCCUAACAACAAAGACAUAUUAUGCCACUUGGUUUCGGUACACAUUUCAUUGUCACGCAUCGUCGUCUUAUGGUUGUUGUGCCUUCAAUUUAGUUAAAACUAUGGGCUAUUGCUACAGACUGACAUUUUCCUCAAAAUCAAAACCACCGUUUAUUUGGCAGGUUAUGCAACUUCAUGUUGACUUCCUUCUAUUGAAAACCUCUCUUUCCAACGUAAUUUUUACGUAGCAAUACAUCCCCUUUGCUUAAUUAGUGACAAUAUUUGAAGUUACCCUACCUUGAUCAUCAUCAUCCCUUGCUUAAUUGGUGACGAUAUUGGAAGUAACCUUCAUCAUCUUCUUUGUGGUUUUUCUAGGAAUUCUUUAGGUGUCUUCGAGUUUGGAAGCAUACAAUCAUUUUUGUAAUAAUUAAAAAUUAAAAUUGUUACAAACUUCUAAAACACGGAAGGGUGAUUGAGUUGUCCUCGUGGAGUCAUGUGUCCAAUUGGUUAUAUAUACAAUCAUAUUAUAAUAGUCGUAUAUACGUAAACAUUUUUUAAAAAAAUAUGUACCACACUUUAAAAAUUCACAUAUGCAUUAAUUAAUUUACUUUUAACCUUAUCUUCUAAUAUAUUAUUAUAAAUUAAUUAAUAGUUAUUUUAAGAAAAACCAAUAAACAAUAUAACGCAAACUUGAAACAAAGAGUGAAUCAAGGAGAAUCUACAAAAUAAGUAGAGUAAUGUAUAAUUAAUACAGAAAAAAAAUUAACAAAUAAAAUUUAUCUCACCUUACCAAUGGAGAUUUUAUCUAUUGGAAAUGGUUGAUAUACUUACAAUUAGUUUUCGACACACAUCGAAUAUGAUUAUCUCCAAUUUAUGUGGCGGAAAAACUUAUCACACACGUUAGAAAAAGAAAAAAGUGUUUAUUUUUCUAGUUCCAUGAGUUUCUACAAGGUUUUUUUUACUUCACUAGCUAGUGAUGACUCGCAUGUGAGAUUUGCGAGUGCAACUUAACAUAUGUGAUUUUGAGACCACGAGAGAAGCAUAUAAUUUUUUUUUUUAAAGUACUAUAAAAUAAUAAUAAAAUUUGAACAUAUAUAUGAAAUGUGGUUGUAUCUUUCAGCAUGGAUUAGAACUUUGUUUGUCAUGUUUAUGAGAGUUUAAUCUCUUGCGCUAAAUUCAACCUUAUUGGUGAAUCUAGAUUUUUUUUUUUAUGUAUAUAUGUAUAUAUAUAUAUAUAUGAUGUUUCUAACCUAAUUAAGAGUUAUAUGUUGUAAUAAUAUUAUAUAAUUGUCUUUUUACUCCUUUUCGAUCUUGAGUUAUUUUGGGACGGGAAAAUAUCUUUAUUUUGGUUUUCAUAUAACUAUUCCCCCUUUUUUGUGAAUCCAAAGCAUUGCUUGAAAACUUUUAUUAUCAGCAUUGCUCGAAAGUUGAAACUAUUCCCGCUGGAUUCAAAGUUUUCAACUUCACUAAUUUCUUUGAAAAGAAAAUACUAUAAAACUUCACUGACAUGUUACGUUACAUUUGGAAGCCAGUCAUGUACCGUAAUAAUUGAAGAAAAAAUAUUAUCAGCCGACACUAAAUGCAUAAAAGGUUAAGACAUUACCGAUCCAUGUUUUGUCGUUGAACAAUUAGUCAAAUGUUAAUUGGUUUCAUUCAGAAUUAAGUGUAAAAAAUUUGAUGAUGAUAAUGAAAGAGACUUGAGUGUAUUACCCGACUAAAAUCCAUUUCGCUUUCUUCAUGUGCUCUAGAUCUACAAUUACCUGCUACACAUUCCAAUGGAUAAAUUCUGGUAAUUAUAAAUGUGAUUACUUAAAAUAUAUAUGGUGGCUUCUUAAACUAAAUUAUAUAAAUUGUUAUCGUUAAAAAGCGACUUUUAGAGUUUAUAGCAACAAUCGUAUCUAUUUGUUCACGGGUUUUUGGAUUAAGUUAGAUUUAGGCUAUUGGUCAUUUCAGUCCACUUAUAAAAAUGGAAGGAUGGAUAUUAUUUUAUUAAUUUACACCAUUCGGAGAAUUUCCUUAUUUUGUAUCAAGUCAAAUAAAAAUUAUAGCCUCAACUCUGGCAAAUUAUUUGCAACAUGUUACCCAAUAGUCUACAUUAUAUAUCUAUUAAAAAUCUUAAUAUCUUGUACAAACAUUGUGUAUAAAUCUUUAUUCGAUCAGUUAUAACAAAUUACAUAGACAUAUAGUGUGUUCGAUCGAGAAAAAUAAAUAAAAGAUUGGACAUGAUAACUACAUUUAUACUAUGUGAUUGUAAAACUACAUCAGGAACUAGAUAAACUUAGAGGGUAAAGGACACGAUAAAAAUUGAAAUUAUUAUCAUUUACUAAAUCAGAAUACAACUUUUUGCCUCAAAUACAAGUGAAUAAAAUACCCAAAUAGACUUUUAUCCACCAAGGAUCGUCGUCUAAGAUAAAAAAAAUUGUUCAAUAUAAUUAAAGUUAGUAAUGUGUCUUAUGUCUUAUUCCGUGUUCUUAUGUCCAAUACUUACAUUUUUAGAUAAUCAAACGUAUUCAUCCUGUUGAAGUACAUGGAGUCGAUACAAGUUAAGAACACAGUGGCUUGGGUUAGGUGAUAGAUGUACAAUCGUAUAGCUUAUAGGUCAAUUCUAACAUGUUUCUGAAAGUCAUUUUGUAUGGAGGUGUGUUAUUUGAACAAUCAUUUGAAUGAUAACUUUUGUGACAACCACUAAUUUACAAAGGAAAGUAGAUAGUGACACGGAAACCAAAGUAAUAGAGAGAUAAAGUAAAAAAAUAAUGUGAGUAUGAAAAAUAAAAUUGUCACAAAAUGGUUGUCAAAAUAUCAUUUCUCUUUUGUAUAACAUGCACAAAUAUUUAAAAGAUAAAUGAUAUUUGUAUAACCAUUUUUUUGACAACUUUUAGACAAUUUUCUCUCUCAUAUUCACGUUAUAUUCUUAACCUUUCUUUUCCUUUUUCUCUCUCCUUUGUUUUUAACCAAUAAAAAGAGAGGAAAAAAAAGUUGUCAAGAAAGUUGUUAGCAAAUAGUUGUUCAAAUAUCAUUGCUCGAGUUAAAAUCGUGCUCACUAAACACAAAUGAUUUUUGACGAAGUUUUGUGUAGGCACAAGCAUUUCGGCGCACAUACAUAAAUCAAAAAAAUUAAAAGAUAAAUAAAACAGUCACAUCAAUCAAUAUCAUUUUAAUCAUUUAGUUUUUAAUUUUUUUUUAACUUCAUGGAUGCGUACCUAAAUGUGAGGUGUUGGUCAUAUGACCAAAUAAGAGAUUUUCAUGAUUUUUUUACCAUAAGAUCAAAAAGUUAUAUCAUAUCUCAUUUUAUUACAUUUUUUCUUUAAUGGUGGGGUUUAUUGGUUUCUAAAAAUAUAUCAAUUACCACCCUUUGUUUUCAAAUUCUUUAACCCCGUCACUAAAAACAUAAAAGUAUUUGGAGUAGGUUUAUUUUGUGAAAACAUUUUAAGUUUUCUAGAAUUUAUAUUUUUAAGCAAAAGUGAAUUGCAAAAAUUUAAGCGAGAUUUUUUAUCACAAGUUUACAAUUAUGGUGAAAUCGAAGAACUUAACUACUUAGGUUGUAAACUAAGAACAUUUUAUUAACAAAGAACCAAAAACAGGCAUGAUGGAGUGCAUAGACCAAAAUCUAAAGAAAAAACAUCAAACAGAAAUAAAGGGAAACUAUGUCGAUUAUUAUAACAACAAUCCUCUAAAAUAAAUCUAGGUGGAAGAGUCCACCAAAUAUAACGUUUAGAUUAAAAACCAAAUCCCGCUAUAAAUAUGAGAGAUUACAAUUAAUUGCAUUUGAGAACACAAUGACAAAGCAUUGCGUUGUCUUUUUUUUUUUUUUUUUUUGUCAUUUAGCUUAAUGGCUAUAGAAAUUCACCUUAAAGAUGAAUAAUUGAAGUGUCAUGCAUCGUCUGUUUUUUAAUCUCCACGUGAUAGACCGAGAAUUCUAAAAAGACUUCACCGAUAAUGACGGUGGAGAUUAAAAAACGUUCAUAAUUGCGGCCAACAAAACAAUUUGUGACUAAUAAUUCUAACCUUUUUAAAGAAAAACACGAAGUAGACAAGAAAAAGGAUGUAUCAAUAUGACAAUCAAUGGAAGUCCAAAGUCAACUCUAAAUGUUAACAUCAAAUUGAUUAACGUUGUAACUUGUAACACCUCGUUUUUUCAACUUAAAAAUUUCACAUAUAAAUUAAAGUAUUUCAACAUAAACAGAAUGUCACACUUCUUUUCAUAAAAUCAUAAACAGAAUAAAAUAACUAUUUAUCCUUCAAAUUCAACAGCAUAUCAUUUAUUACAUCGCAACGGAAUGUAUUCAACAUUUAAACAUCUUUUGCACCAAGGCCUCAACAUAAAAUCUCUUAAAGUUAUUCCAACAACAUGUUCAUGAAAGUUCAUAAAAUAAUACGUAAGGAAUAGAAAGCAACAACAAAAUUCUCAUCCCGUUACGUAUCAGGGCACCUAAGACACACGUGAGAGAUAGUCCACUCACGACAACAACUAACAGCAACUAUUCUCGAUCACCUGCAGGUUACCCAUAUGAAGGGUAACAAUUCCAAGCAGAAGGGGUGAGAUUUCAUAUUCAAAUAAUAAUAAGCAUAUAAUUCAUUAAAUGCAUUUAACAACUUAAACUUCAUCAAUUAAUAACAUUAACUCUUCUUAUAAUACUUCGUUAAUAACUCAAUCAAUUUCUAAUCAUCAUUAACUUCAUAUUCAUCACAUUAUAUACAACAUCAUAUAGCACAUAAUAAUCAGAUCAUAAACAUCAUCAUAUAACGACAUAAUCAUCACAUCAUAAACAUCAUCUUAUAACAAGAUAAACGAUACAUCAUAAACAUCAUCUUAUAACAGCAUAAACAACACAUCAUAAACAUCAUCUCAUAACGACAUAAACAACAACGAUUAAUAAAUAUUAAUACUUCACUUAGUUCUUUAUUAACAACUCAUUGACAAAUGACAACUUAACGACAACGACAAUGCGACUUCUACAUCUUAAACUCAACAUAUGCAACUUCAACUUCUUAAUCAUGCAUGUGGUACCAACCAGAGCAUCAAGCCCUCAACAUAAAGAGCAUAAAUACACUCACAGGGCAUCAAGCCCUCAACAUAAGAGCAAAAGCUCACAGAGCAUCAAGCCCUCAACUUCAAAUGAUUAUGCAUGGACUCAAAAACGUACAACUUAGACAAAUUCACAACUUAUAUGAUCCAAUAUCUUGGAAUAACAACUUACAACUUUACAACUUAGACCAACACUUGCAACUUAAUGACAAUAAUGGUUCAACAACAACAGAAACAGCAACAUAAACAUCUUGCAACAUAGCAACAUCAAUAAUAACAAUUUGAAUGAUAUAAACAAUAAUAAUUUCUAUAUCAUACAUUUUCAACACCUUAUAUAAAUAUCUUAAAUUAACCAACAAUCAUUAAUCAUUUGAUUCAGGCUCUCUUUAACUCUAUAACUUAAUAACAACUUCCAUUCUUAUCCAAAGAUCAACUCAAAACAUAGGUUAAAUACUCUUAAACAUCUUAAUUGAACUCAUAGUACUUCUAGUUUUGAGGUUUUGAAUUAUCCCAUAAGUUUUGGAUUAACUUAGAAAUGGUUAUGCUGAAUUUUCAUAAGAUUUCACUAAGACCUCUCUGGAGUAUUUUUUAUCAUAUCUCAAAAACCAAAAAUCAUUUUCAAAUCAAACCAAAGCCAUUGAAAAGCUAAUAAAAUUAUCUAAAACUUUCAUGUUUACAACUAGACACAGUUCAAAGCGGAAAGGGGUGAAAAAUAGUAAAAUAAGAAGGAUCUGAUUCACAAAAAUCGUGCCACGUUUUUAUGCCCAGAACCAUUGAACUUUCGGCCAACAAAAUUGUGCCACGCUUGCAAAAUCGUGACACGUUUUGACAGCAUCAGGUCCAGAAAUCUGCUUUUCAAAAAGUGCAAUUUUCACCAUUUCGCGCGUAAAAUUCAAACCGUUAAUCGGAUUUUGAUGCCGUUUUCGCCUACACGCUCCUGAAACUUGGCUCUAUCAUAAUCUACAGCUAUUUCAAGUCUCAACCAUCCCAAGAAUCAUUUUCCAAAACCUCACAUAAUCCCUUAUUUGCAAAAACGUUUAGACACCGACUUUUCAAGCGAAAAUCUCAAUUUUCAUCAACUCAACCCCAAAACUGGUUCUAAUCAUUGUACUGUGAAUAAUCUAAGGUCUGAACAUCGUUUCUUCAUUAAUUCAACAGGUUUCUAUCAUCUAAUCAACCAAUUACAACUUUUAACCCUAAUUUCCCAAAUUCCCAAAACUACAACCUACAACAUGUUAAAUCCAAUUUUCAGAAUUAUACAACUUAUAAUUAAAGAAUGUUAUCAUUCUAGGUUCUUCUCUUCUAUUGUUUUCUCCCUUUUUCUCCAAAAACUUGUUUUACGCGAUCCUUAUUUUCUAAUUCUAACUCUCCCCUUUUAUAUAAAUCCUUAACCUACUUAUUUUCUCUUAUUUCCAAAUCUACCCCCAAAGUCUCAAUAUUCUAUUCUAAUAUAUAUGUAUAAUAAAAUACUUCUAUAACAAAUAACAAAUAUAUCUCUAUAACAAAUAUAUUUAUGUACCAGAUAACAUAUAUAUUUCUUCACCAAAUUAGAUAUAUAUUUCUACACCAAAUAACAUAUAUAUUAUACUAAUAAAUACCAACAUAUAACAUAACAAAAUAUCACUCAUCAAAAUAAAUCGACUAAAUUAUAAAAAGACAUCUAAAUUCAAUAAAAUAAAUAAAUAUUAAAAUAGGGCGUUACAAACGUGCUUUCUAUCAUCGAUGAACCAGAGCAAAAUUACCAUUAGAUUCAAUCAAUGGUCAUGAUUUAUACAAAAUAAAAAUAAGAACAUUUAAGAAUUGCCUCGCACAAUCUUGCCCCUAUUAAACUUUUUUAUUUUUGGUAUUCAUCAUCUUCAACCUCCAUUCCAAUUUUUUCGUAAUAAAAAAAAAAAAAAAAACUCCAUUUCAAUUUAGGAGCAAUGCUACAAAAGAGAAUUUGCACAAAAAAUUGAGUGUGUCUUCAAAAGUUUACGGGGUUUGCUAAAAAUCUAGUUUAUGGGUUCAAUUGGAGGUGGUGACUAAUGAAAUUGGAGGUUUAACUCAUCCUUAAAAACCAGUUCAUAAGGUGAGUCACGCCCAGCACUCUUUGGGCUUACGUGAAUCGGUAGGUAUUUGGGCUUACGUGAAUCGAUAGGUAACUCUUGAAUUCGACAGGUUCUGAUACCAUAAUGAAAUUGGAGGCCUAACUCAUCCUUAAAAACUAAUUCAUAAGGUGAGAAUUGUCUCCUCUAUAUUAACUCUUAUCAAGAGUCUUAUCUUUUCGAUGUGGAACAUGAGUUUUUUUCAAUAAUGACCUUUAAAGUUUAAACACGCGGCAUCUUUGAAUUCUACAUAGAAAAAAAAAAUAGAAUUAUAGCGUGUUAUGUUUGUUUCUCUAGAGCAUGAGACAUUUCAUUGUUCAGUUUAUGUUGUCAUGGAAAGGCAUAUGAGUGAUGGGUGUACAUCAUCGAUCGGUGGUUUGAUUCUCGUGAAUAGAACAAAAAAAAUCUGAGCUCAAUGGUACAAAUCCUUACGAUGAAAGGUGAGAUAUAGUAGGAUUGUGUGUGGAUAGUUGUAAAUGUUAUCUUUUUUAAUUCUAGUAGAUCAAAAUUGUUAAUCUCAUUUCAUGGUAAAAAUUAAAUAGUCCAUUUGUGAGGGACUCAAUAGCUCCUUCACCUUAGACGUCACCCUUAAUUAAUAAGAAACUAACGGCGAGGGACUCAACUCCCUCACCUUAGACGUCACCAUUGAUUAAUAAGAAACUAACGAUUGAAGUAAAUAAACGAGAAAGAAACUCAAACUUCUUUCUAAACUUUCUUUCUCUUUCGUUCAUCAAGGAGGGGUGGUUUUUGACCUAGAAUCACCCCUCUACAUCUUUUUUCCCAUUUUCUUUCAAUCUAAAUAAGUGGUUUUCACAUACAAGUGUUUCCUUUUGUGUUUUUUGUGAUUUUGUCGUCUAAGUACAACGCUGUGUUGGUCGUCGUCUUGUGCGGCGUUUGAUUUCACGUCUUGUCGCGGCGUUCGUUUAGUUUCUAUUGAAAGAUUGACAUCGGUCAAUUAUAAAUCCAAUCAAUGAUUUGGGUGUGAAUGUUGCCGAUCUAGAAACAUGAGUAUUUCGGUGACUUAGAUUUAAUCAUAUUAGUUGUAGCAUUUUGUCAUUUUAUGUUAUUAACUUGGGUGCUGUGAGUUUGUUCGCAGUUUUACCCUUUACGUUUCUAGCGAUUUUUGUAUCUGAUGUACUCUAUCAAUCUGAAUGAAUGAAUAUCGUUUUGUUUUUAUUAAAAAAAAAAAAUAAAAAAAAAACUAACGGUUAAAAGUUUGCUCUACAUGCCUACAAUGAUAAUAAAUAGAGAUAAUUUACUACAACUUUUAAAACAAUGAUGCUCAUUUAUAGGAACUUUACCAUAAAUAAGUCUCCAAAGAAAAAAUGAUUUGGAUUGAGGAAUUGAAGGUUUCCAAAUAAGCUAUGUCCAUGAUUGAUCAUAUGCAGAAACUUGACAAAAACUAUCAGCAUCCUAAACUGAAAGAGAACCUGAUGAAGAACCCUUCUAAGCAAGAUAUUCAGUGGAAAACUAUACCCCGAUAUUUAUCAAAUUUCAUAUUUCACCAAUUCAACUCUCUCUAUCAAUAGUAUAUAUAUAAAGUAAGAUUUUUUAUGACACGUGUCACUUCCACGUUUAUUCGCAAUAUUUUUAUUUUUUUUCUAAUUUUUCAAAACCAAUAUUUAAUUUGGCAUAAAUAUCUCAACAAACUUUUGAUCUUAUCUAUUAAAUAUUUUACUUAACUAUUUAUUGAAUUCCUAAUAUUUUAUGUAAUAGAAAUAUCUCAACAAAAUUACAUACGAUACCCUUCAAUUAAAAAUCAUCAAUCAAUCAAUAGUAUAUAUAGUAAGGUUUCUUAUGCCACGUGUCACUUUCAUGUUUAUUCGCAAUAUUUUUAUUAUUUUUAUAUUUUUUAAAAUCAAUAUUUAAUUUUGUAAAAAAAAAAUCAAUAUUUAAUUUGGCAUAAAUAUUUCAACAAAAUUUUAACCUUAGGGAUGGCAAUGGGUACCCUAUCCCAAUGGAUAGGGUACUAUAGUACCCUAUCCAUUGGGUACUCAUUGCCAUAAAUGUAUUGGUCUAUUCUCCACUAUCAUAAAUAUAAAGUGAAAUAUAUUGAAUUGGAAAUGAUGAAAGUAGUAUUAAUUAGAGUUAUAAUUGAAAAAAAAAGUAAUUAAUAAUUGUAUUGAAAAGUUAAAUGCAUCAAGAUUUUUGAGACAAUAUUUUUUACAAAUAACUUAGUUAUUAUGGGACGGAGGGAGUAACACUUUAACAUGACAAUGAAAAGUAAAUUUAAGAAUUAAAAUGCAAGAAAUGAAGAGAAUGUUUCUCUAACACAAAACUAUUUUUUUUUUCUCUUUCACUUAUACACUUUUUUAAUGUGUAAAAUAAAAAAUAAAAAAAACUUAUGUAUAAUGAGACGGAGGGAGUAGUUAGUAAGAACAAAGUCGUCAAGGAACCAAUUAACUCUUGAUUUCACUUCCCAAAAACGUCUUGAUAGUGCUAUACUCCCUCCGUCCCAAAUUAUAAGCAAAAAAACAAAAAUCACACUUAUUAAGAAAACUAAAACAUAAAAAUUUGGAGUAUAGUUUUUUGUGUUUUCGUUGGAAAAAGUUUUAUAGGAAGAUGUAAAAACAAUUUUCAUUGGCUAUUGAUUAUGGAAAAAAUGAAAGAAAGAGAAAAUUGAAUGUAAUUUGCAUUUAAUUUUAUGAGAAUAACAAAAAAAAAUCUUGGAAAAGAUUAAAAUUUGUCUUUUUUCCUUAUAUUUUGGGACAAAGAAAAUGAAUUUCUUUUGCUUAUAUUAUGGAACGGAGGGAGUACUUGGUUAAGCUGGAUUGAGCAUUCAAUUCUAAUUUAAGGGCCUUUAAUUUACCUUAAAGAAUAAACAUAGGACAACCAACCACAUAAUUAUUUAUACCAAACAUUUUCCACCACGUGGGUGAUAUCUGGAAGAUGAGAGUCCAUUUAAGUGAGUCAAUGUGACGAAAAAAAAGAUAAAAUGGCAAUUUUAGGAUCGUAAAUUUCUGAAAAUAAUGGAAGUAGUAAUUCUUUUAACGUUUUCAUUGUUUUAAAAAAAUUAUCCAAUCAUAUUUUAUAUGCAAUUUUUGUUUUUUAGAUUAAUUAAACAAUAAAUUUUGUUAACCAGUGUCCUAAGGGUGAUGAUUAAGGAAUUCAAAUGUAAAAGUUUUGUCUUGUAAUUGUAGGAUGUUACAUUUGAUCAAGUAAUGAUUAUACUACUUUUUAUUAAAAACUUACUUGAUUUAGUUGUUUAACCAGUGUGAACACUAGUUAACAUUCUCCUUAAAUAAUUGAUGUUUCUGAAAUAUAAUAUAUAUAUAUAUAUAUAUAUAGCUCAGAUACAUCACUUAUUUAAUGAAGAGUUUUUUUUUUUUCCUUCUCUUAAUUAACGAAUAAAACUAACACUUAUAUAUCUACCAAAAAAAAAAAAAAACUAACACUUAUAUAAUAUAGUUCGGAUACAAUAUAUUUAUAUAAUAUAAUCCGGAUACAUCACUUAUAUAAUCAACAUUGCUAUUUACCGCGACAAGUUUUGUCCCGAAUGCAUCAAGAAUGAAAAUAAGCCAAUUAAAAACAGCUGUUAGUGGAAAUCAUGGGAGGUGGGGGAGAAAAAGAUGGAAAUCAUAAACUAAUGGAUGGAUGGCAUACAUGCCACAUGUGUCUGGAAAAUCUCGGGACAGUUUUAUUUCGUGUGAAAUAGCAUUUUUCCUUAUAUAAUAUAGUCCAGGUACAAGGCAACUAUCACCGGAUGAGGUUUUAUCUUUUUAUUAAUGAAUAAAACUUUUUUUAAGAAGCUAAAUGCAAAAUAUAUUAAAAACCAAAUUAGUUAAGCACAAGAUGUGCCAAACGAAAAACUGUGUAUAACGUCAAAGUAACAAACUCGAUAAAGAAAGAAACCACAAAUAAUAAAAAUCAAAAGCGAAAUUCAGUUUAUGUGUCUUUAGCCACCACAAAAAAUGAAAUUUAAUAUUGUCGAGAAGUUGAUCCUUAGAAGACACGUUGUUAUUGAAAUUUCUCGAGUUUCUCUCCUUCCAAAUUCUCUCCUUCGAAAUAACUCAAAGACAUGUCAGCACACCACUUUAAAACAAGAGCUAAUGUCCUUCCUGAAAGCAUGCGCGCCAAAAAAUUGUUGUGCGUGACAACCAAUAUUUGAUGGAACGACGGUAGUUUUACCCUACCAGAUCAACAAACACCCUACCAGAUCAACAAACAGGGAAAAUAAAUAAAAAAUAUUUUUGCAAAGUAAUUAAACGGAUUCUAAUGUUUAAUAGGAACCGAUCGAGGACAACAUAGAAAUCAUGCUGGAAUUUGAAGAAGAAAUACAAACCUAAUUAAAGAGAGGGGCUAAGUAUUUCCAAGCUGGAACUUGAAAAAGAAAAACCAUGCUCUAAUUAAGUAACUAAGUAAGGUAGUACAUUACAACAAUUGAGAUAAGUACGACACAUUAUGAUGAUUAUGACUUAUGAGCUGUUAAAUGAUGUUGUAGGAUUACUUUUUUCUUGUCAAAAAUAAAUAAAUGAUGUUGUAGGAGAAACAUUAUUAUAAACAUUAUUAUAACUUACAAGGACUAAUGUUUAAAAAAAAAAACUUACAAGGACUAAUAAUGAGACAGAACGAAAGUGUACGUGAGUGUAGGAGACACGUUAUUAUAACAUUUUAUAAAUAUUUAAACGUUGAUAAUAAUUUUGUCGAUCUAUAAACCACUACCAAUUCCUAGUUAAAUAUAUAAUAAUUUUUAUUAUAUUUGUUAGUUGAUGGUAAAAGAUGAAUAUAAUUUGUUACUAUAUUUUUUUUUGACAAAAUAAUUUGUUGCUAUUUAAAAUUCAUAAAUAUAGUCUAUACAUAUAAUUUUAAUAAAAAUAAAAAUUCACCCAAAAAAAAAUCAAAAAUUUCAUAAAAAAAUAAAUAUUGUUUAUAAUUCACGAGCGUUGUCGCAGUACAAAAAUGGAUAGAUGGAUACCCAGUACUAGUAAUUAAUGAAGUUAAUUGGUAAAAUUUCACUCUUACUGGUGGUUGAUGGUAGGGGUGUUUACGGUGCGGUUUGGUUCGGUUUUGAGAGAAAAAGUCAUCCAAACCGCAAGAUAAAAAAACAUGCGGUUUGUGUAACACCCACAGCUGACGAGGGCAGGGGAGUGGUCACCGGUGCACAAGGCACGCCAAUGAGCGGCUCCCGACAGCUUCUAGAGGAACCGAAUCACAUCUGAAUGAGAGGGAUCCUGAGGCCGUGUAGGUGUGGGACUACAUGAAUGAAGGAAUGCUUAUAAGAAUUGUUUGGUAAUACCUAUAUCAACAAGGUGCAUCUUCUUUUUGGUACCCUAUUCCAUAAGAACUCCACAGUUAAGCGUGCUUGACUUGGAGUAGUCUUUGGAUGGGUGACCUACCGGGAUUCCCGAUAAGCAUGCGAGUGAGGACAAAACACGCUGAAAAGACUCGUGUUGGUUUGUAGGGUCAGUCGACAAUGCUUAAAGUCGUCUGGGAUGUUACAGUUUGGUUUGGUUCGGUUGGCUUUAAAAUAAAAUCCGAACCAAACCAAACCAAUAUGGUUUGGGUUGUAUCGGUUGGUGCGGUUUUUUUCGUGACGAUACGAUUUUUUGUUUCCAACAUUAAAAUCAAGAUAAAAAGCUGAAACACAAUAUAUUUUCAACAAUGUUUUAAAUUUCAUCAAACAUUACAAUUUCAUUUUCAUUACAAUGUUUCCAACAACAUAAACCAAAUUAAAAACGCGGACAAAAAGUAAUCUUAUUUUGUAAGAAAUGCAAAAGACUGAGAUGUUCUCAUUCUCUAAAAGUUAAGUAGCACAUAAAUACAUUUUUAAAUAAAAAGCAAAUAAUGAACUUAACAAGAGAAAAAAAAUAUGACAUUUUAUAAAAGUUUUCAUUGAGUUUCUAUGAGUAUUGGUCUUGAUGACAUAUGUUUAAUUAACAUUUUUCUUAUGUUAUGGUUUGGUUUGGUUUUGUAUCUAUUUGACAGUCUCUUUGUACUUUGAGCGACCUCUUUAGUACGCCUUAUGCUAAAGAGGUGUCUCUCUUAUUGUGAAUAUAUAUCAUUUUACCUUCUUAAAAAAAAGUUAAUUGGUAAAAAAAAAAAAAAUUUCUCUCUUGAUUUAUAUGAAAUGACAUUUUUUUUUGGAACAUGGAGGGUAUUGAUUUUUACACCUUUUCAAAAGCCACUCAAGGAUGAAUAUAGAUUUUUCAUGCAUCAAACACAAGAAUCAUUAGCAUAACAUGCUUUGGAAAACACACACAUAUACUUAAAUUAAUGGUUGGAGUAUCAAAUUUAAAAAUAUUGUUGUCAAUACAUACCCCGUCAAUCCUCCUUUUUUACCCAAUAAACAUUGAAAUGUUGCUUCUUUCGUUAAGCAUAAAAACAUCAAAGUCUAGCAAAAUGUUGUUUUUGCGAUGACACAUUUCAUAUAGUUUAAAGGAUGCAUGAUUCGAUUACAAAAACAAAAUACUAAUAAUUCUAGCACAAAGUUUAAAGCUAAGAUUAUAAAGCUUCAUAGCAUGUGGAUAUUCAUUUAGAAAUAUAGGAUUAGGAUUGCCCCUUUCAUCACGGGUCUAAUAGCACCACUUGUCACUACAUGUUAAAAAUGUCCUCUAGUACAACACCGCUUUUUACUUGAUUCCCCUUGUCCAUGAAAAAAUCAAACAAUAUUUGGACACAAAAAUUUGCCCCCACUUUCCUUUUUCUUCUGCCCUAGUUUGUUUGAAAACUCAUAUUGAUCAAAUUUGGCUAUGAAUUCAAACAAAAAAUUCACUCUGCCCAUUGCAUGUGUGGGACCCACAUAUAAAUCCAUGAAGGAUUUCAAUGUCCAUCCAAGUCAAUGAUUCAACAUAUAACAUUGAAUAAUUUAAUUCCAAUUUGCAGUAUUAUGAUUUAGAUUGAUUGCUGCAAUACGGUCCGUGAAUGUAACUCACGAGAAAGAGGUAUCAAGGUAUUUUAUUUUAUUUUUAACAAAUAAAAUUUCAAGGUCUUGUUCACCAUAUAAACCUCCUCACUCUCACUCAAUUCUCUUAAGUGUAUGACUUCAUAGUAAACUACACUACUUUCUUUAAAACAUGGCUAACUAUGCUAUAGCCAAUGUUUUGAUCCUUCUCUUGAACUUGAGUACCUUACUCAAUGUUCUUGCUUGCCCUUAUUGUCCUUACCCAAGCCCUAAACCACCUUCACACCACCCUCCUAUUGUUAAGCCACCAGUUCACAAACCACCAAAGCAUUCUCCUACUCCUAAACCACCAGUUCAUAAACCACCAAGAUAUCCUCCUAAACCAUCACCUUGUCCACCCCCAUCAUCAACACCAAAACCACCUCAUCAUCCCAAACCCCCAGCAGUACACCCACCACAUGUUCCAAAACCACAUCCACCUUAUGUUCCAAAACCACCAAUUGUUAAACCUCCAAUAGUACAUCCACCUUACGUACCAAAACCCCCAGUUGUGAAACCACCACCAUAUGUCCCUAAACCACCUGUUGUGAGACCACCCUAUGUUCCUAAACCACCAGUUGUACCUGUAACACCACCUUAUGUUCCUAAGCCACCAAUUGUUUUCCCACCACAUGUUCCUCUACCUCCAGUUGUACCAUCACCACCACCUUAUGUACCAACACCUCCAAUUGUGAAACCACCAAUUGUUUUUCCACCACAUGUUCCUCUACCUCCAGUUGUGCCUGUAACACCACCUUAUGUGCAACCACCACCUAUUGUAACUCCACCAACACCAACACCUCCAAUUGUGACACCACCAACACCACCUAGUGAAACACCUUGUCCUCCACCACCACUUGUACCUUAUCCACCACCACCAGCACAACAAACAUGUUCCAUUGAUGCUUUGAAGUUGGGUGCAUGUGUUGAUGUGCUUGGUGGACUCAUACAUAUUGGUAUAGGUGGAAGUG
Molecule: long non-coding RNA, 19962 nt
Filed under: Medicago truncatula (barrel medic)
Lineage: Eukaryota; Viridiplantae; Streptophyta; Magnoliopsida; Fabales; Fabaceae
Description: long non-coding RNA (MTRU_LNC000957)
Source: RNAcentral